UGGGUUGUCCCCCUUUCUGGGAGAGAGCGAGGAGGAGACGAUUGCCAAUAUCACUGAAGCUAAGUGGGACUUUAAGGCUGAGGAAUUUGAGAGCGUCUCUGCCGAGGCCAAAGAUUUCAUUUCUAGACUCGUCCUUAAAACCCCAAGUGACAGAAUGACCACAACUGAGUGUCUGGAACACAAGUGGUUGAGGCGGUCUGCAAAGCGGGAACGCAUUCCAGCUCGAUCGUUGUCAACGAAACGCUUGAAGAAGUUUGUUUAUCGCCGGAAGUGGCAGAAAGCAGUAAACGCAAUGUUGGCGCUGAAACGAAUGGGUGUCAAAUUGCAGUGAUGUGUCAAGGCAGAACGUUGUCAAUCGUCUGGAUGUGCUGGCACCAUUUACAAAGGCUCAGACGUUGUUUGAUCGUGGAAAUAUAACUUUCAGUGUUGACACAGCGUGACUUACAUCUUGUGUCUACGUUUCUGAGUGAGGCCGGGAAACACUAACUAUUAAAAAAAUGCCUCAAAAUAUAUAUUUUCUACAGUCGAACCCCGUUGGUUCGAGCUCCGAUGGACCGGUGAAAAUACAUCGAACCUCGGGAAAUUCGAGCCAAGCGUGAUGCUUACAUUUAGAUAAAAAAAAUCGGUUCUUUACAUGCAAUUCGAGCCAACGAGGAAAUCGAGCCAAGCGAGAUCGAGCCAACGGGGUUCGACUGUGACUUCAUUUGACGAAUCACUUGUGCCUGAUUGCAGACCAGAUUCUAUGUAACAUAUUCUAUGUAUACACAACUUUUUACCAUUUUGUUCCUAUAACAGCAUUUAAGAAGUAAUUCUUUGACUUUCUGGGUCUGAGUCCUGAAUUAUACAGCUUAAAUCCUAUCGUUCAUUUUUUUAAUUUUCCUUAAACUUGAAAUAUUGAGGAUCAAACAAAUGUUAUUUUUAUUCCCUAAUCGGGUAAUUUUAUCCACUGGUAUUCAGACUCGCUGUUGACAAAAUGGCGAGAGAGCCAGUUGAAAAUUGGUCAGGAGAGAGAGAGAGAAAUUGUGAAUGUAUAUAUUAUAUAUAAAUAUAUUUUGUUGAUUUUGCCAACUGUGUAAAAGUAGAGGAUCAAUCCCACUAUGGAAAUAUUACUUGCCCUCAUUCGGAACUCCUCGGCAAUUUUUAUCGAAAACAACCUCGGAUGUAUGCCGGUACAUAUGUAGAAGUAGUUCGUAAAAAUGAAUUAUAUUAUUAAUGAAAUGAAGUGUUUUAGGUGUCAAUUUAUUGAUCUAAUUUUAAAUUGAUUGCCAGUGAAGUGUAUUAUUGCAAACAUAAUUAAGAUUCCCAAGAGUUAAGUCAAUAAGUUUAACUGCUAAAUUAAAUUUCUACGCGAUCUACUUGCAGCAGACUAAAACAUACCGAUUUCUGAGUGUGUAAACCGUCCAUGUACAUCCGAGGUUGUUUUCGAUAAAAAUGGCCGAGGAAUUCCGAAUGGCUUGCCCUACCGCCAGUUGUUUUACCAGUAUUGAAGUUAACCUUAUGAUAUAUUGUGAUAUUCACAUUAACAUUUCCAUUUCGAUUUUUCAUUUUAUUAAUGAAUAAAACUGCCAUUAACACUAGCUCUCAAGAUUAUUUUAAAUACAUCUGGCUUUUCUGUGGACCAGUAACAUUAUCGACAUUUCUUAAAAUGGCUUCUUUUAAAGCUGUACUCUCACAGAUUGACCGUUUUUACAACAUUUUUAUAUUUUGUCUUGGAAUGAACCGAUUUGUCUGGAUACCAGUGAUACAAGACUGUUGACAAAAGAUCAGAUCGCAGUUUCUCAUAUUUAAGUUGGACAUUGAUAUUUUAUGGCUAAAAGCAUUAUUAACGCUUUCAGUGAAAUGAGUUCCGGCAGUUUCCCAAACAAUUGAGAUCUGUUCUAUUGUGAGUUAUAUGACUGAAUUGAAGGCAAAUCAAAACUUUCAAUCUGUGAGAGUGCAGCUUUAUGUGACUGAUAGGUUGUAUUAUUCAAAUAUUUCAAUAUCCCAAAAUACAACCAUGAUAAGCCUAUACGUUUCCAGUCAGAGGACCAUCACUUACCUUAUAUGGAAUGAAAUUGCCAAAGGUCAUCUUAAUUUUAGAAAUGGUUUUCCUUUUUUUUUAAAUGGUAUUAUUCAACACACAUUCUGUUUUCUUUCAAAAUUGUUUCAUUAUUUAUUUAUUUAACAUCACAAUACAUUUCAUUUUGUAAUUAAUUCUAUAAUUGUUUGUUAAAUAAUUUCUUUAUUAAUUUUUUUUCGAAUGCUGUGACGUUUAUUUAUGAAAAUAAAUAUACAUUGACUU
Molecule: long non-coding RNA, 2281 nt
Organism: Mya arenaria
Lineage: Eukaryota; Metazoa; Mollusca; Bivalvia; Myida; Myidae
Exons: 3
Source: RefSeq, a predicted model, not a curated record